UACAGAGGGGGCAAGCGUUGUUCGGAAUUACUGGGCGUAAAGGGCGCGUAGGCGGCCUUCUAAGUCGAACGUGAAAUCCCUGGGCUCAACCCAGGAACUGCGUCCGAUACUGGAAGGCUUGAAUCCGGGAGAGGGAUGCGGAAUUCCAGGUGUAGCGGUGAAAUGCGUAGAUAUCGAGAGGAACACCAGUGGCGAAGGCGAGUCUCUGGACAUUUCCUGACGCUGAGGCACGAAAGCCAGGGGAGCAAACGGG
This 253-nucleotide ribosomal RNA is filed under the name uncultured bacterium. Its description in RNAcentral is "partial 16S ribosomal RNA". It matches the Rfam family "Bacterial small subunit ribosomal RNA", at positions 524 to 776 of the family's 1533-position model. The record is from RNAcentral.